UAAUUCUAGAGCUAAUACAUGCUGGUAGGCCCGACUUUUGCGGAAGGGCGGUAUUUAUUAGAUAACAAGCCAAUAUUCCUCUGGUCUAUUGUGGUGACUCAUAGUAACUUAAUCGGAUCGCAUGGGCUUGUCCCGCGACAAACCAUUCAAGUUUCUGCCCCAUCAUGCUUUCGAUGGUAGUGUAUUGGACUACCAUGGCUUUCACGGGUAACGGAGGAUUAGGGUUCGAUUCCGGAGAGGGAGCCUGAGAAACGGCUACCACUUCCACGGAAGGCAGCAGGCGCGUAAAUUACCCAAUCCUGAUUCAGGGAGGUAGUGACAAGAAAUAACGGGUCGGGGUUUUGCCCCGGGACU
This 354-nucleotide ribosomal RNA is filed under the name uncultured Spirotrichea. RNAcentral describes it as "SSU rRNA". It matches the Rfam family "Eukaryotic small subunit ribosomal RNA", at positions 153 to 510 of the family's 1831-position model. The record is from RNAcentral. Lineage: Eukaryota; Ciliophora; Spirotrichea.